This 301-nucleotide ribosomal RNA is filed under the name uncultured bacterium. Its description in RNAcentral is "partial 16S ribosomal RNA". It matches the Rfam family "Bacterial small subunit ribosomal RNA", at positions 509 to 809 of the family's 1533-position model. The record is from RNAcentral.
CAGCAGCCGCGGUAAAACGGAGGGUGCAAGCGUUAAUCGGAAUUACUGGGCGUAAAGCGUGCGUAGGCGGUUCGUUAAGUCUGUUGUGAAAGCCCCGGGCUCAACCUGGGAAUGGCAAUGGAUACUGGCGAGCUAGAGUGUGUCAGAGGAUGGUGGAAUUCCCGGUGUAGCGGUGAAAUGCGUAGAGAUCGGGAGGAACAUCAGUGGCGAAGGCGGCCAUCUGGGACAACACUGACGCUGAGGCACGAAAGCGUGGGGAGCGAACAGGAUUAGAUACCCGCGUAGUCCCUGUCUCUUAUAA